This 253-nucleotide ribosomal RNA is filed under the name uncultured bacterium. RNAcentral's name for it is "partial 16S ribosomal RNA". It matches the Rfam family "Bacterial small subunit ribosomal RNA", at positions 524 to 776 of the family's 1533-position model. The record is from RNAcentral.
UACGUAGGGCGCAAGCGUUGUCCGGAAUUAUUGGGCGUAAAGAGCUCGUAGGCGGUUUGUCGCGUCUGCUGUGAAAACCUAAGGCUCAUCCUUGGGCUUGCAGUGGGUACGGGCAGACUAGAGUGCGGUAGGGGUGACUGGAAUUCCUGGUGUAGCGGUGGAAUGCGCAGAUAUCAGGAGGAACACCGAUGGCGAAGGCAGGUCACUGGGCCGCAACUGACGCUGAGGAGCGAAAGCAUGGGGAGCGAACAGG